RNAcentral lists this ribosomal RNA (497 nucleotides) under uncultured bacterium. RNAcentral describes it as "partial 16S ribosomal RNA". It matches the Rfam family "Bacterial small subunit ribosomal RNA", at positions 28 to 507 of the family's 1533-position model. The record is from RNAcentral.
GAUGAACGCUGGCGGCGUGCCUAAUACAUGCAAGUCGAGCGAACAGACGAGGAGCUUACUCCUCUGACGUUAGCGGCGGACGGGUGAGUAACACGUGGAUAACCUACCUAUAAGACUGGGAUAACUUCGGGAAACCGGAGCUAAUACCGGAUAAUAUAUUGAACCGCAUGGUUCAAUAGUGAAAGACGGUUUUGCUGUCACUUAUAGAUGGAUCCGCGCCGCAUUAGCUAGUUGGUAAGGUAACGGCUUACCAAGGCGACGAUGCGUAGCCGACCUGAGAGGGUGAUCGGCCACACUGGAACUGAGACACGGUCCAGACUCCUACGGGAGGCAGCAGUAGGGAAUCUUCCGCAAUGGGCGAAAGCCUGACGGAGCAACGCCGCGUGAGUGAUGAAGGUCUUCGGAUCGUAAAACUCUGUUAUUAGGGAAGAACAAAUGUGUAAGUAACUAUGCACGUCUUGACGGUACCUAAACAGAAAGCCACGGCUAACUACGUG